Molecule: ribosomal RNA, 459 nt
Filed under: uncultured bacterium
Lineage: Bacteria
Description: partial 16S ribosomal RNA
Rfam family: Bacterial small subunit ribosomal RNA
Source: RNAcentral
CCUACGGGUGGCAGCAGUGAGGAAUAUUGGUCAAUGGGCGUAAGCCUGAACCAGCCAAGUCGCGUGAGGGAAGAAGGUUCUACGGAUCGUAAACCUCUUUUAUCAGGGAACAAAGGCGGGGACGUGUCCCGGGUUGAAGGUACCUGAAGAAAAAGGAUCGGCUAACUCCGUGCCAGCAGCCGCGGUAAUACGGAGGAUCCGAGCGUUAUCCGGAUUUUUUGGGUUUAAAGGGUGCGGAGGCGGCCUUUUAAGUCAGCGGGAAAAGUCCGGGGCUCAACCUCGGAGUGCCGUUGAAACUGGGGGGCUUGAGUUUGUGAGAAGAAGGCGGAAUGCGUGGUGUAGCGGUGAAAUGCUUAGAUAUCACGCAGAACCCCGAUUGCGAAGGCAGCCUACCGGCCCCUGACUGACGCUGAGGCACGAAAGCGUGGGGAUCGAACAGGAUUAGAUACCCCUGUAGUC